RNAcentral lists this ribosomal RNA (530 nucleotides) under uncultured bacterium. RNAcentral's name for it is "bacterial SSU rRNA". It matches the Rfam family "Bacterial small subunit ribosomal RNA", at positions 776 to 1304 of the family's 1533-position model. The record is from RNAcentral.
AAAUAGAUACCCGGGUAGUCCACGCCGUAAACGAUGAGUGCUAAGUGUUAGAGGGUUUCCGCCCUUUAGUGCUGCAGCUAACGCAUUAAGCACUCCGCCUGGGGAGUACGGCCGCAAGGCUGAAACUCAAAGGAAUUGACGGGGGCCCGCACAAGCGGUGGAGCAUGUGGUUUAAUUCGAAGCAACGCGAAGAACCUUACCAGGUCUUGACAUCCUCUGACAACCCUAGAGAUAGGGCUUUCCCCUUCGGGGGACAGAGUGACAGGUGGUGCAUGGUUGUCGUCAGCUCGUGCCGUGAGAUGUUGGGUUAAGUCCCGCAACGAGCGCAACCCUUGAUCUUAGUUGCCAGCAUUCAGUUGGGCACUCUAAGGUGACUGCCGGUGACAAACCGGAGGAAGGUGGGGAUGACGUCAAAUCAUCAUGCCCCUUAUGACCUGGGCUACACACGUGCUACAAUGGAUGGUACAAAGGGCUGCAAACCUGCGAAGGUAAGCGAAUCCCAUAAAGCCAUUCUCAGUUCGGAUUGCAGG